CCUACGGGAGGCAGCAGUGAGGAAUAUUGGUCAAUGGACGAGAGUCUGAACCAGCCAAGUAGCGUGAAGGAUGACUGCCCUAUGGGUUGUAAACUUCUUUUAUAUGGGAAUAAAACGUUCCACGUGUGGGAUUUUGUAUGUACCAUAUGAAUAAGGAUCGGCUAACUCCGUGCCAGCAGCCGCGGUAAUACGGAGGAUCCGAGCGUUAUCCGGAUUUAUUGGGUUUAAAGGGAGCGUAGGUGGAUUGUUAAGUCAGUUGUGAAAGUUUGUGGCUCAACCGUAAAAUUGCAGUUGAAACUGGCAGUCUUGAGUACAGUAGAGGUGGGCGGAAUUCGUGGUGUAGCGGUGAAAUGCUUAGAUAUCACGAAGAACUCCGAUGGCGAAGGCAGUUCACUGGACUGCAACUGACACUGAGGCUCGAAAGUGUGGGUAUCAAACAGGAUUAGAUACCCGAGUAGUC
Molecule: ribosomal RNA, 460 nt
Filed under: uncultured bacterium
Lineage: Bacteria
Description: partial 16S ribosomal RNA
Rfam family: Bacterial small subunit ribosomal RNA
Source: RNAcentral